GCCGCCUUCGGCCGGCAGGGUCGCAGCUGUGAGUUUGGCCUUGGAAAGGAGGAAUGAAAUGAGAGGUGGGGAAAUCUGUUGGAGCGAGAGGACAUGCAGGAUAGACGUUAGGAAGGACAGGAGGAGAUCGCGGGUGACCAAGGGCACAUUGAAAGGCCCACGCAAGCCUGGUGGCCGAGUGACAACAGUACUUUGGGGGAGCCUCGCAGAGGAAUCUCUGCACCCGACGUGGGGCUCAAACUCAUGACCCCGAGAUCAAGGGCUGGAGGUUCUUCCGACCCAGCCGGCCAGUAGCCUCAGAGAGACAGAGCGUGAGCAGGGGAGGGGCAGAGAGAGAGGGAGACACAGAAUC
Molecule: long non-coding RNA, 352 nt
Organism: Prionailurus viverrinus (fishing cat)
Lineage: Eukaryota; Metazoa; Chordata; Mammalia; Carnivora; Felidae
Exons: 4
Source: RefSeq, a predicted model, not a curated record